Molecule: ribosomal RNA, 204 nt
Filed under: uncultured Actinomycetes bacterium
Lineage: Bacteria; Bacillati; Actinomycetota; Actinomycetes
Description: uncultured actinobacterium partial 16S ribosomal RNA
Rfam family: Bacterial small subunit ribosomal RNA
Source: RNAcentral
AAAACUCAAAGGAAWUGACCGGGGCCCGCACAAGCGCCGGAGCAUGUGGCUUAAUUCGACGCGACGCGAAGAACCUUACCAGGGCUUGACAUGCGGGGUGAAGCCGUAGAAAUACGGUCCUCCUUCGGGAGCCCGCACAGGUGCUGCAUGGCCGUCGUCAGCUCGUGCCGUGAGGUGUUGCCUUAAGUGGCGCAACGAGCGCAA